CCGACGUGGACAUCCAGCGAGUUGCUCUCCUUGGCUCUGUCCGUGCGGCGUACGGGAGCGUAGCCUCCGGCCGAGACGUACAUUCCCCUUCCGCGCCGUCGGAGAAUAAGUUCCGUCCCCGACUUAAGCGGUCGGCGAGGACCAACGUCCUGCAUAUUCCUACACCUUCCCAGAGUCUUGUGGGACCAUGACUGGGGAGAUAAACCAUGCAGUGCACAUUU
Nerophis lumbriciformis (worm pipefish) is the source of this 221-nucleotide non-coding RNA. Lineage: Eukaryota; Metazoa; Chordata; Actinopteri; Syngnathiformes; Syngnathidae. The record is from RefSeq and is a predicted model, not a curated record.